AGGCAAACAUCAUGAUCCUAGAUGAUGAAUGGACAGCAAUAACUGAAGAUAGAUCCAGAACAGCUCAGUUUGAAAAUACUAUCCUAAUCACGGAGGAAGGUUAUGAGAUCCUGACAAAGCCUUAUGAAAAGAGAUGAAGCCUUAAUAAUCAAGCUCAUGGCUAAAGGAGUGAAGCUGUUUUGUGUCCAAGAUGUUACCACUUCAACUUUCUCUACCGUACUACUCGAGACAAAGAACAUCUCAACCACCAAUGAAGAAGUAACCCAUUCAAAAGGAGUAUAGAAUGUCUGAUAGUCAAGUCUCUGAACAAUGUAAUUCAACCAGUAAAUUGUAGUCUUGGCCGUAUGAUAAAAAGUGUAAAUAUGAACUGUAAUAAUUUUUUGCUGUAGGGAGACCUUGUUCUCAAAGAAAGGAAACGAUUUUUUGUUGUGGCUUCUGUCUGAUGUGAGGGUCCAAUUGAGGGUCCCCUCUUCUCAAAUCACAGGAAUUUUCGUAAUUGAGCCUUAUUAUUUGUAAUUUUCAGAAAUUUCGCAUUUUUGGACUGCCAUAAAAAAUGCCUGGCAAUGGAACCGCCAUAUACAAUAUAAUAAUAACUUAAUCCAAGCUGCUACAAAGUAUCAAAUAUCAAUCACGAGAAAAUGAGUAAUGAAACCGGGACGUUUUGACGUAUUUUCCACCUGCCUGAAUUUUUCUGGUCGAAAAUUAGUUUUUUUCUUCUUCUUAUUCUUCAUUGAAAGCGCAGAAAGUGCCCAAGUAGGAGGUAAAGGGACGAAAUUGAGGCAGAAAUGUUAAGGUACUCAAUGCCCAAGGUUCAUUAAGGGACAAUGGUUGUUACAACAAAGUAACAUGUAUGUAUGUCUACUUCAUAUUUUGCAGUAGCCAUCCUCUGAAUUAAGUUGUUAUUUGACUGUUCUCUUAGGUAGAUUAAUUUGUUUUUUAUACUGAAAUGUACCUUCUACAUGCACUAUCCUCAAGUAAAAAAAAAACUGCAGAAAACUCUGUCGCAAAAAAAAUCCUAGGAGACUGUGAAACUGCAGGAAUGCGUAUCUUAGUUUGCGACAUUGCAGACUUCC
This 1073-nucleotide long non-coding RNA is filed under the name Bemisia tabaci. RNAcentral describes it as "lncRNA ENSSSA3NGG008266". The record is from RNAcentral. Lineage: Eukaryota; Metazoa; Arthropoda; Insecta; Hemiptera; Aleyrodidae.